RNAcentral lists this unclassified non-coding RNA (413 nucleotides) under Hevea brasiliensis (rubber tree). Lineage: Eukaryota; Viridiplantae; Streptophyta; Magnoliopsida; Malpighiales; Euphorbiaceae. The record is from RNAcentral.
UGGCUCCACCAUUUGUUCCUUCAAAAUUAAACAUAAUCACUAUCAAUAUCAAACCAUUUUAACAAAAUCGCCUAAUCCAUAUUUUUAAUAAAAAAAAUAUUAUAUCAUAUUUUAUUAUAUAUUCAUUUAAUUUUAUUAAAUAUAAAAUGCAAAAUUUUAGGGGUGUGAAAAGGGGAAAGUUUUAGGUAAAGUGGUGCACGAUUGCGCCACGUAAAGUGAUGAUAAUUAUUCUGUAAGGGACCCAUCACCCGUGAACGCACAGUGGAUUUGGAUUUGGUGGUGGCAAGUUAAAAGGUAAGUUGGUUGGUACAUUUCCAUCAUUUUCUCUUUUUUUUUUUUCAGAACUUUCCCGGCAUCCAAACAUAAGAUUAGAAAACAAGGGCAACAUACAGGAUCAUCAGUGACAGGAGAAG